GGUCAAGCAACUAAGCGCAUACGGUGGAUGCCUUGGCAGUCAGAGGCGAUGAAGGACGUAGAAACCUGCGAAAAGCCUCGGGGAGCUGGUAAACAAGCUUUGAUCCGAGGAUGUCCGAAUGGGGAAACCCACCCAGUGUAAGCUGGGUAUCGUAUCGUGAAUACAUAGCGAUGCGAGGCGAACCCGGGGAACUGAAACAUCUAAGUACCCGGAGGAAAAGAAAUCAACCGAGAUUCCGAA
Molecule: non-coding RNA, 240 nt
Filed under: Oceanospirillum linum
Lineage: Bacteria; Pseudomonadati; Pseudomonadota; Gammaproteobacteria; Oceanospirillales; Oceanospirillaceae
Description: Bacterial large subunit ribosomal RNA
Rfam family: Bacterial large subunit ribosomal RNA
Source: Rfam by way of RNAcentral